GCCUGGGUGGCUCAGUUGGUUGAGUUUCCGACUUCGGCUCAGGUCAUGAUCUCAUGGUCCGUGAGUUCAAGCCCCGCUUCAGGCU
RNAcentral lists this transfer RNA (85 nucleotides) under Felis catus (domestic cat). It matches the Rfam family "tRNA". From Rfam's summary of the family: Transfer RNA (tRNA) molecules are approximately 80 nucleotides in length. Their secondary structure includes four short double-helical elements and three loops (D, anti-codon, and T loops). The record is from Rfam by way of RNAcentral. Lineage: Eukaryota; Metazoa; Chordata; Mammalia; Carnivora; Felidae.